GUGGGGAAUAUUGGACAAUGGGGGAAACCCUGAUCCAGCCAUGCCGCGUGUGUGAAGAAGGCCUUCGGGUUGUAAAGCUCUGUGGGGAGGGAAGAAAAAGCGGGAGAGUAACUGCUCUCGUGUUGACGGUACCUCCUUAGCAAGCACCGGCUAACUCUGUGCCAGCAGCCGCGGUAAUACGUAGGGUGCAAGCGUUAAUCGGAAUUACUGGGCGUAAAGCGUGCGCAGGCGGCUUUGUAAGACAGAUGUGAAAUCCCCGGGCUCAACCUGGGAAGUGCAUUUGUGACUGCAUGGCUAGAGUGCGUCAGAGGGAGGUGGAAUUCCGCGUGGAGCAGUGAAAUGCGUAGAGAUCUGGAGGAAUACCGAUGGCGAAGGCAGCCAUCUGGCCUAAUACUGACACUGAGGUGCGAAAGCAUGGGGAGCAAACAGGAUUAGAUACCCUAGUAGUCC
This 450-nucleotide ribosomal RNA is filed under the name uncultured bacterium. RNAcentral describes it as "bacterial SSU rRNA". It matches the Rfam family "Bacterial small subunit ribosomal RNA", at positions 354 to 796 of the family's 1533-position model. The record is from RNAcentral.